Molecule: non-coding RNA, 45 nt
Organism: Schistosoma haematobium
Lineage: Eukaryota; Metazoa; Platyhelminthes; Trematoda; Strigeidida; Schistosomatidae
Source: Rfam
ACCCAGCUGACGAGUCCCAAAUAGGACGAAAGGCGCAUCCUGGAU